CAAACAUCGGUGAUGAGUACUUAAAAUCGUUAUCCUUGCACUUUGAUUGCCGGUGAAGAAAUUGGGGAAAUUUGUUUAUCAGAGAUGCCU
This is a non-coding RNA of Punica granatum (pomegranate), 90 nucleotides long. Lineage: Eukaryota; Viridiplantae; Streptophyta; Magnoliopsida; Myrtales; Lythraceae. The record is from Rfam.